CUCAUUGGAAUUCUUGAAGCACAAGAAUCUUGGAAACUCAACUUUAGGAAGAGGAUGAAGUCAAAAAAGCCACUUUCACCUGAUUGCUUCUCAGAUGAUUACAUCCUCAAAAGGUUCUUCCCAAGGAGAUACCAGACCAUCAUCAUAGUUAUGUGUGUUGAAUAUAAUGUAUUUAUAGUAUAUUAUCUUUCCUUGUUAAUAUAGGUCACAUGUAUGGUAGUUAGGACUCCUAGCCUUGUAUAUAUAUAUCUCUCAAUUGUAAGUAGAUUUAUUACAUGAAUGAGAAUAAGGUUUUUCUCCUUUCUCUCUCUCUCUCAACAUGGUAUCAGAGCCAAGGAAGAAAACCUAAUUCUUUCCUAUUUCCCGUGUCAUCAACUCCGGGAAACCCUCUUUCCUGUUUCCCGUGUCAUCAACUCUGGAAAACCUUCCGGUGACCGUGUUUCAUUCCGGUCACCUUCCCCAUCUCCCAAUACUUUCUGGUCAGUCGGAUCGUCGUCAGAAAACACUCACCGCCGGCGAACUUUCCAGCGACGUCUUUUUCCGACACCGACCACACCAAGAGGAGCGCCUGGAGGAGAUCUCCAACUUCUUCAAAAGCAUCGGAGCCAGAAAACCCUCCACGCGCCGGCCACGCGCACGUUUAUGGCCGGCGACUGAAUCUCACGCGCCGGCUCGUGAGGGCGCGUGAGGCCUUUUCCGGCGACGCGCCUCCUCCUCCAGCCUCGCCUGACGCCGACCAGCAUCCCUACCUACCUGGUUCUCCCAUCCGAGCACUGCACGUACCUCUUUUGGGGAUUUUUGUCUCCAUCAGCCCUCCAAACAGCCUUUCCGGCGAAGUUCCGGCUACUUUUUCUCCACCCCAAUCCCUGCACGUGCAUUGGGAAGUGUUCUUCUACCUUUCUGGUGGUACCACAUCGCGAUCUGAGGUCGUCUCCCUUUUUCGGUGGUGCCACGCCGCAAUCUGAAGCCGUAUUAGGGCUCUCUUCGAUCCAAACAUAAGAUAAGUGGAUAUGGCUACUAAAGCUUCCAUUUUUUCCUCUGUCAUAUCUGGAUCUCCUAUGAUUACUUCGGAGAAAUUGGUUGGCAGUGAAAAUUAUCUUUCCUAGUCUGCCUCUGUUGAACUUUGGUUUAUGGGUCAAGGAUAUGAGGAUCACUUGGUUACCCAGGAGGCAGAUAUCCCUGAGGUUGACCGCGUACAGUGGAGGAAGAUAGAUGCACAGUUAUGUAGUGUAUUAUGGCAAUCGGUUGAUCCCAGGAUUCUUCUUCAUCUUCAGGCCUAUAAAACUUGUUUUAAAUUUUGGACUCAGGCCAAAGGAUUAUACACGAAUGAUAUCCAGCGUCUUUAUAAGGUGGCUUCUGCUAUUGUCCAUAUCAGCCAACAGGACUUGGAUCUAUCUACUUAUAUUGGUCAGAUUGCCUCUCUUAAGAAGGAGUUCUUGACUGUGAUGCCUUUUACUCCUGAUGUUGGGGCUCAACAAACACAGCUUGACAAGUUCUUCAUGGUCCUUACUCUUAUUGGCCUCCGUCCGGAUCUUGAGCCUAUUCGUGAUCAGAUUCUUGGUAGUUCAUCAGUUCCGUCCUUGGAUGAUGUGUUUGCUCGCCUCCUCCGUAUCUCGUCCACUCAGACUUUGCCAUCUGAUAGCACUUCAGAUUCUUCUGUGUUAGUUUCUCAAACUACCUCUUGAGGAGGACGCAGUGGUACCCGAGGUAGAGGCCAACAUCCUCAUUGCACCUAUUGCAAUAAACUUGGCCACACUCGCCAUCGUUGCUAUCAGUUACAUGGAAGGCUUCCUCGCACUGCCCAUAUGGCCCAGUCCUCUGAUUCUCCACUGCCUUAGCCUCCGAGCUCCUCCGCAUCUCAGACAUCUCAGGCUUCUAUUGCCUCUGUUGCUCAGCCUGGUAAUGCCUCUGCCUGCCUUACCCACACAUCUUCUCUUGGACCCUGGAUUCUAGAUUCUGGAGCAUCUGAUCACCUAUCUGGUAAUAAGGAUCUUUUCUCCUCUAUUACUACUACCUCUGCUUUACCUACUGUUACCUUAGCUAAUGGUUCUCAAACUGUGGCUAAAGGUAUUGGCUUGGCCCUUCCUCUGCCUUCUCUACCUCUCACUUCUGUCCUUUAUACUCCUGAAUGUCCUUUUAAUCUUAUUUCCAUCAGCAAAAUCACUCGUACUCUUAAUUGCUCUAUUACCUUUUCUGAUAAAUUUGUGACCUUGCAGGACCGGAGAACAGGGAAGACGAUUGGCAUAGGACGUGAGUCUCAAGGCCUCUAUCACCUCACCUCAGAUUCAUCUCCUGCAGUUUGCAUUUCCACUGAUGCUCCUCUCCUCAUUCACAAUCGUCUGGGCCACCCUAGUCUCUCCAAGUUCCAGAAGAUGGUCCCUCGUUUUUUCACUUUGUCGUCGCUUCCGUGUGAGUCAUGUCAGCUUGGGAAACAUACUCGUGUCUCGUUCCCAAAGCGUUUGAAUAAUCGGGCAAAGUCUCCUUUUGAGCUUGUCCACACUGAUGUUUGGGGUCCUUGUCGAACUGCGUCUACUUUAGGAUUUCAGUAUUUUGUCACUUUCAUUGAUGACUAUUCUCGAUGUACUUGGUUAUUUUUAAUGAAAAAUCGAGCUGAGUUAUUCUCUAUUUUCCAGAAAUUUUAUACUGAAAUCCAAACCCAGUUCAAUAUUUCUAUUCGUGUGUUACGCAGUGACAAUGCCAGGGAAUAUUUUUCAACCCAAUUUACUUCGUUUAUGUCUCAUCAUGAGAUUCUUCAUCAGUCUUCUUGUGCUCACACUCCUCAACAAAAUGGGGUAGCUGAACGCAAGAAUCGACAUCUUGUUGAGACAGCUCGUACUCCCCUCCUCCAUAGUCACGUUCCUUUUCAUUUUUGGGGGAACGCUGUUCUUACCGCUUGUUAUUUGAUUAAUCGUAUGCCCUCCUCUGUCUUACACGAUCAGAUUCCUCACUCCCUUCUCUUCCCUGACCAACCGCUUUAUUUCCCUCCUCCUCGUGUCUUUGGUUGUACUUGCUUUGUUCAUAUUCUCACUCCUGGACAGGACAAGCUUUCCGCCAAAGCCAUGAAGUGCCUCUUCUUGGGAUAUUCCAGACUUCAGAAGGGUUAUCGUUGUUAUUCCCUUGAGACUCAUCGAUACUUUAUCUCCGCUGAUGUCACCUUCUUUGAGGACUCACCAUUCUUUUCCACCACUUCUGAGUCUCUUCCUGUUUCUGAAGUCUUGCCCAUUCCCAUUGUCUCCCCACUUGAUGCUAUGCCCCCUCGACCACUUCAGGUUUAACAUCGUCGCCCUCGUGUCGUUGCUCCUCUCCCUUUUCCUGAGGCACCUGCUGACUCACUUCCUAUCCCUUCGGCUUCACCUGCCCCGGCUCUGCCUUCUCCUAAUGACUUACCCAUUGCUGUUCGGAAAGGUACUCACUCUACUCGUAAUCCUCAUCCUAUUUACAAUUUUUUGAGUUAUCAUCGAUUAUCUUCACCCUAUUCUGCUUUUAUUUCUGCUAUAUCCUCUGUUUCUCUUCCAAAGAGCACCCAUGAAGCUCUUUCCCAUCCAGGCUGGCGACAGGCAAUGGUGGAUGAAAUGGUUGCUCUGCACUCUAAUGGCACUUGGGAUCUUGUUGUUUUACCCUCUGGUAAAUCUACAGUUGGUUGUCGUUGGGUCUAUGCAGUUAAGGUUGGUCCUGAUGGUCAGGUUGAUCGCCUUAAGGCCCGCUUAGUUGCUAAAGGCUAUACUCAAGUUUAUGGUUCUGAUUAUGGUGACACAUUCUCCCCUGUUGCCAAGAUUGCUUCUGUCCGCUUGCUUCUCUCCAUGGCUGCUAUGUGUUCUUGGCCUCUUUAUCAGUUGGAUAUUAAAAAUGCCUUCCUUCAUGGUGAUCUUGCCGAGGAAGUUUAUAUGGAGCAACCUCCUGGUUUUGUUGCUCAGGGGGAGUCUGGUUUAGUGUGCAGGUUACGCCGUUCUCUAUAUGGCUUGAAACAAUCUCCUCGAGCAUGGUUUAGCCAUUUUAGUUCUGUUGUUCAAGAGUUUGGCAUGCUUCGCAGUACAGCAGACCAUUCAGUUUUUUAUCAUCAUAACUCCUUGGGACAGUGUAUUUAUCUGGUUGUUUAUGUGGACGACAUCGUCAUUACAGGCAGUGAUCAGGAUGGUAUUCAGAAACUAAAGCAACAUCUUUUUACCCACUUUCAGACCAAAGACUUGGGGAAACUCAAGUAUUUCUUGGGAAUUGAGAUAGCUCAAUCCAGUUCUGGUGUGGUCCUUUCCCAAAGGAAGUAUGCUUUAGACAUCCUGGAAAAAACCGGUAUGUUAGACUGUAAACCGGUAGACACACCUAUGGAUCCGAAUGUCAAACUUGUACCAGGACAGGGGGAGCCUUUAGGAGACCCCGGGAGAUAUCGACGGCUUGUAGGUAAAUUGAACUAUCUCACCAUUACUCGUCCAGACAUUUCUUUUCCUGUGAGUGUUGUUAGUCAAUUCCUACAGUCACCAUGUGAUAGCCAUUGGGAUGCCGUAAUCCGCAUUCUUCGAUAUAUCAAAAGUACACCAGGCCAAGGUGUAUUGUACGAGAACAGAGGUCAUACUCAGGUUGUUGGUUACACAGAUGCAGAUUGGGCUGGCUCACCCACAGAUAGACGUUCCACUUCAGGGUACUGUGUUUUUAUUGGAGGUAAUCUAAUAUCUUGGAAGAGUAAGAAACAAGAUGUAGUGGCCAGAUCUAGCGCUGAAGCCGAGUAUCGAGCUAUGGCUUUGGCAACAUGUGAACUCAUAUGGUUGAGACAUCUUCUUCAGGAGUUGAGAUUUGGAAAGGCUGAACAGAUGAAACUCAUCUGUGAUAACCAGGCCGCAUUACAUAUUGCAUCCAAUCCAGUCUUUCAUGAAAGGACCAAGCAUAUUGAAGUUGACUGUCAUUUCAUUAGAGAGAAGAUCGCAUCAGGGUGUGUUGCUACAAGUUUUGUUAAUUCAAAUGAUCAACUAGCAGACAUCUUCACUAAAUCUCUCAGAGGUCCUAGGAUUAAAUAUAUUUGUAACAAGCUUGGUGCAUAUGACGUAUAUGCUCCAGCUUGAGGGGGAGUGUUGAAUAUAAUGUAUUUAUAGUAUAUUAUCUUUCCUUGUUAAUAUAGGUCACAUGUAUGGUAGUUAGGACUCCUAGCCUUGUAUAUAUAUAUCUCUCAAUUGUAAGUAGAUUUAUUACAUGAAUGAGAAUAAGGUUUUUCUCCUUUCUCUCUCUCUCUCAACAAUGUGCAAUGUACAGAUGAUGAAAAUCAACUUAACAGAUCCUCAAGUGCAGAAGGCACAUCAAUUGAUUCUUGU
Molecule: long non-coding RNA, 5297 nt
Filed under: Vitis vinifera (wine grape)
Lineage: Eukaryota; Viridiplantae; Streptophyta; Magnoliopsida; Vitales; Vitaceae
Description: long non-coding RNA (VVIN_LNC000217)
Source: RNAcentral